GUCAGAAUGCUUCUGGGAGUCGGGGGGUGGGUGCCUUUCUGUUGCUAGCUUGUAGGAGAAGCUGGGCUGUAGGAAGUUUAUUUGCGGGGGGGUCUUAAAGACGCUGAAAGUACUGGCGGGCUUUGGUGGGGGUCUGGAAAAACCUCUCUGUACCUGUGACCGCGUUGCGUGGCGGGCGCUCCCCGGCCUCUCCUUUUUGACCGGUCCCGGGCGUUGCCCAGCCGCCAGUCCUCCUGCUCGGGUUUUGUAAGCAGGAGAGGGAUGCUUUUUACGUCUUCUUAAAGUACGGUUAAGUGCCCUUGCUUGAAGUAGUUGCUGGCAACAAGAACGUAGGGGUUACUCUUUGUUGGGCCUGAACUCGUGCUUUUUCUCUCAAAAGUUGAGCUUUUGAAAGGCAAAAAAGGCGUGGGGGAUGGGGGAGCUGUCGGUCUUAAGGAAGUUAAAGGUUAUUUCCUAAACAAAACAAGUCUCACUCCUAAAACCAGGGUAGUGGCUCAGUUGUGGCGGGAGAGCAGGGGCUGUAAAGUGUCCAAGUUUCUAGUCUCAUCUUUCAGUAGGAUGGGUACAAGCUUUCCCCUUGGGGCUCUGGGGGCUGGGAGGGUUGUAAAAGUGGGAGAAAGCAAAGUAUUUGGCGGGGUGCGGGCGGGUAGCUGAAUGUUGUUGUAAGUGGAAGAGGAAUG
RNAcentral lists this long non-coding RNA (680 nucleotides) under Homo sapiens (human). RNAcentral's name for it is "non-protein coding lnc-DRD5-28:1". The record is from RNAcentral. Lineage: Eukaryota; Metazoa; Chordata; Mammalia; Primates; Hominidae.